CAGUCGCCACGGGAAAACGGAGGGGGCUAGCGUUGUUCGGAAUUACUGGGCGUAAAGCGUACGUAGGCGGCUUUGUAAGUUAGAGGUGAAAGCCUGGAGCUCAACUCCAGAAUUGCCUUUAAGACUGCAUCGCUUGAACGUCGGAGAGGUGAGUGGAAUUCCGAGUGUAGAGGUGAAAUUCGUAGAUAUUCGGAAGAACACCAGUGGCGAAGGCGGCUCACUGGACGACUGUUGACGCUGAAGUGCGAAAGCGUGGGGAGCAAACAGGAUUAGAUACCCGUGUAGUCCCUGUCUCUUAUAC
RNAcentral lists this ribosomal RNA (301 nucleotides) under uncultured bacterium. RNAcentral's name for it is "partial 16S ribosomal RNA". It matches the Rfam family "Bacterial small subunit ribosomal RNA", at positions 509 to 807 of the family's 1533-position model. The record is from RNAcentral.